CACCGCCCGUCACACCAUGGGAGUCGUUUGCUCCAGAAGCACCUGAGCUAACUCGCAAGAGAGGCAGGGUUCCAAGGAGUGGACGGUAACUGGGGUG
Molecule: ribosomal RNA, 97 nt
Filed under: uncultured bacterium
Lineage: Bacteria
Description: partial 16S ribosomal RNA
Rfam family: Bacterial small subunit ribosomal RNA
Source: RNAcentral